AAUUGAUUUUAGUACUUUUAAGGAUAUGGAAGUUUGGUGCAAAUCCAACGCGGUCCCGCCACUGUGAUAAGCUUGCUUACAGGCUUUAAGUCAGGUCUUUAUUCUUAAAUUUUAGUAGAUUUCAUGCCUCGAUGUAAGGUAGUGAUGUCAGUU
Molecule: small RNA, 153 nt
Filed under: Streptococcus sp.
Lineage: Bacteria; Bacillati; Bacillota; Bacilli; Lactobacillales; Streptococcaceae
Source: RNAcentral